Molecule: long non-coding RNA, 1150 nt
Filed under: Sus scrofa (pig)
Lineage: Eukaryota; Metazoa; Chordata; Mammalia; Artiodactyla; Suidae
Description: lncRNA (ENSSSCG00005004927.1)
Source: RNAcentral
CUUUGACCGACAGGAGAGGCCUGGGCUGGAAAGAGCUUGUGUGUGUCUUAAAGCAGAAAUACCUUACUAUGUUUCAGCAUUUUAGUGGAGAGCCCUGCUGUUAUUUCUGGAAUCCCCGGGGCUGGGUCCCCGGGGCUGGGCUGUAGAUGGAUGAGUGUUUAUGGCCGUGUGGGCUGGGGUGGAGCCGAACACCAAGAAAUCCCAGUGGAAAGAAUUUGUAUGUGGAAGGGCAGAUAAAAUGCUUUCUGUAUGACCGGUGAAUUUCAAGCUUACUGAAAGGAGAGACAGCCCAGGCAAGAGAAGGCAGUGGACGUGCACGGGGGUUGGAGACCCUUGAGCAGGACUGUCAGGGGACUAAGCUUCUGUGGCCAGAGGGACCGUAGGGGCAAGAACACUGAUUCUUUGUCAGAAAGUCUGAGCUGUACUGCCAUCUCCUCAGGUGACCUUGGGCAAGUUUUUGCUGCACUCGGUAACUCAGUCUCUAAAAUUUCUGCUUUCAUUCAAUCAUCAAAUAUUUAUUGAGUACUAGCUCAUACAGGUACAGUCAUCUGCAAUCACGGGCGAAAACUGCUAGGAAACCAUGAAAAGGUUUCAUACACUACGAAAAGUGAGAAGAAGCUGCUGGAGCAGGAGGGAGCACGCGGAACUCGAAGCCAGACGCUCAGAAAUCCCAGCUCUGCCAUUGAUUUGCAGUUUGACCUUGAAUACCAUGGUCCUCCCGGAAGCUCCGUUUCCCAACCCUUGAAAAAAACCCCUAUUCCAGAGGGGCUGUGGAGCUCUCCCCCAGGAAACGCUGGGCAGGUAGCAAGUGUUCAGGGAAUUGUAGGGUUUCCCCCUGUCUUUCUCUCCGCCUGGGGGUAGGAUGCAGGGAAAGGAGGGAGACGUCCAUCCUGUUGCAAGGAGCCUGAUGAAACGUGAGCGAAGGCUUAUCUCCUGAAUCACUGCUGUAAUUAAUAGAAUUAAAGCUCUGCAGACCAGCUCCGUUCCACACACAAUUCAGAAUGAAUGAGUCCUCCUGGUUGAGUUUACUCUCAUAAAUUGUUUCAGAGGUUUAUUUGCCCAGAGCAGUGGGUCAUCCAGAGGAACUUCCUGUCCUGCCAUGUGGCAGAUAUUUCACUGACACACAGACAUUUGAAUGGGACUUUUGCGC